This 497-nucleotide ribosomal RNA is filed under the name uncultured bacterium. Its description in RNAcentral is "partial 16S ribosomal RNA". It matches the Rfam family "Bacterial small subunit ribosomal RNA", at positions 28 to 507 of the family's 1533-position model. The record is from RNAcentral.
GAUGAACGCUGGCGGCGUGCCUAAUACGUGCAAGUCGAGCGAACGGACGAGAAGCUUGCUUCUCUGAUGUUAGCGGCGGACGGGUGAGUAACACGUGGAUAACCUACCUAUAAGACUGGGAUAACUUCGGGAAACCGGAGCUAAUACCGGAUAAUAUUUUGAACCGCAUGGUUCAAAAGUGAAAGACGGUCUUGCUGUCACUUAUAGAUGGAUCCGCGCUGCAUUAGCUAGUUGGUAAGGUAACGGCUUACCAAGGCAACGAUGCAUAGCCGACCUGAGAGGGUGAUCGGCCACACUGGAACUGAGACACGGUCCAGACUCCUACGGGAGGCAGCAGUAGGGAAUCUUCCGCAAUGGGCGAAAGCCUGACGGAGCAACGCCGCGUGAGUGAUGAAGGUCUUCGGAUCGUAAAACUCUGUUAUUAGGGAAGAACAUAUGUGUAAGUAACUGUGCACAUCUUGACGGUACCUAAUCAGAAAGCCACGGCUAACUACGUG